RNAcentral lists this long non-coding RNA (7655 nucleotides) under Solanum tuberosum (potato). Its description in RNAcentral is "long non-coding RNA (STUB_LNC000507)". The record is from RNAcentral. Lineage: Eukaryota; Viridiplantae; Streptophyta; Magnoliopsida; Solanales; Solanaceae.
GAUCAUCUAUCUCAAACUCAUACAUCACAUUCUCUUCUUUACAAAAAAGAGCAAACUGAAGUCCUCAGUGACAAGUACACCUUCCUUAAAACCUUUCUUGACGAUUUUACUAAUAUUUUCCAUGAAGAUAUAAAGAUGAAGCAUCUGGAAAGGAUGAUCCAAGAAGCUGCUAAUGGAGUGGAAGAUACUAUUGACUCACAUGUAUAUGAUAGCUCUGUCUUAGUACAAAGCAAGCGAGUACAAAGAAAGGCUGAUACAAUUUUUCAUCAAAACUUGGAAUAUGCAAUUGAGGAAAUUGGUUUGAUACAAAAAGAGGUUAUGAAAAAGAUAAAGGUCAACAAGUUCAACAGCAAAAUCUCUCAUUCAAGAGAUACUUCAUCUCAGAUCCCUAUGGAUCAAAAAGAUGUAAUCAUCGGACUAGAUGAAGACUUGCUAAAGAUAAAAGAUCGACUCAUCGUGCAAUCAUCAAGACUCGAAGUUGUCCCCAUUAUAGGGAUGGGUGGUAUAGGCAAGACCACACUGGCUAGAAGAGUUUAUGAUGAUUCCUUGAUUGCAUACCAUUUUUAUGUUCGAGCAUGGACAAAUGUAUCUCAAGAAUUUGACACUAGAGAAAUUUUUCUUGGUAUUCUUCGCUCCAUUGGCGUGGUCAAGGAUGAAGUAGAAAGAAACAGUACUAAUGAGCAAUUGGCUGAAAGAGUUUAUCGAAGUUUAAAAGGGAUGAAGUAUCUUAUUGUCCUAGAUGAUAUGUGGUCCAUCGAGGCUUGGAAGCAUGUGAGGAGAUCUUUUCCGGAUGAUCAUAAUGGAAGUCGAAUCUUGUUGACCACGAGGCUGGUAGAUGUUGCAUCUUGUGCUUGCUCUGGCAAUUCCCUUCACGAGAUGCGCUUUCUGAGUGUGGAGGAAAGCUGGAUUCUUUUACGCGAUAAGGUCUUUGGGAAUGGUAGUUACCCUCCGGAAUUGGAGAAAAUUGGGAGAUACAUUGUCCGUCAGUGUCAAGGGUUGCCACUUGCAGUUGUUGCAAUUGGUGGACUACUUUCCAAGAUGAGCAAGGAAACAAGUUCUUGGGAGAAAGUUGCAGAAAAGGUAGGAUCACUUAUGACAAGUGACACUAUGGAUUGCUUGAACAUACUUUCUUUGAGCUACAACCACUUGCCUCAGUACUUGAAAACAUGCUUCCUUUAUAUGGGAGUUUUUGCAGAAAGUCGUGAGAUCCCGGUCUGGAAGUUAAUAAAGUUAUGGAUUGCUGAGGGCUUCGUCAAGAAAGUUAAUCAUAAAAAAUCUAGAAGAUGUGGCAGAGGAAAAUUUGAGGGAGUUGGUUGAUAGAAGUUUGGUUUUGGUGGGGAGAGAUACCUCCCUGGGAAAAAUCAAGACUUGUAAGAUGCAUGAUCUCGUUCGAGAUAUGUGUUUGAGAGAAUCCCAAUAUGAGAAUUUUUUACACUUCAAAACGAGGUAUGACAAAGAUAAUCUUCUAGAAAACAUUAAUUGUCUACGUCGUAUAGUUGAUUUCAUUAAUUAUGGAUCCAGUGGAAUUUCUAUAUUUAUUCCACUCGCACGUUCUGUUUUCUUCAAACAUGAAUACAACUUUUGUUCCCCCGCACGAUUAAGGUUUAGAUUGCUUAGGAUAUUAGAUGUUUGUUUUCCAUGUUCUUUCUCCUGUAGUCAGUCCAUAUCAGAACUUGUUCAUUUGAGGUAUCUUGCUUGUCCGUCCUUCGGUGGCCUUGUGCAAUCAAUAUGCAAGCUUCGGAAUUUACAGAACUUAGUUAUUCAUGAUGUAAGCUUAUUUGCUUCACUUAUAACAACCCAGUCCCUAGCAUGGGAAGUUUUGAAUAUGCCUCAACUAAGACAUAUCCAUACAAAAAACUUUAGUCUCUUCAUACCCCGACCUACAUCCCUAAUUGCUGAGAGGGAGAAUCACUUACUAACAAUAACCGGAUUGAUUCCCUCAUCUUGUAAUGAUGAGGUGUUUCUAAGAAUUCCAAAUUUGAAGAAGUUGGGAAUUUUAAUUGAUGUUGCUUCAUACCCUAUUAGGAAUUGCCUUGAUAAUCUUGUACAUUUAACUCAGCUUGAGAAGCUCAAAGUUGUGGUCAGAGAGCCUUUUCUGCUAAUUUUUACGCCGAUUAUCGAAGGUUGGAUGGACAUUCCACAUUGUGACAAUUUCCCACCAAACCUUAAGAAGUUAACAUUGUGCAGAACAAACCUACAAUGGGAAGACAUGAACAUUCUCAGAAAAUUACCUAAUCUUGAGGUGCUCAAACUUAAAGAUUAUGCCUUUCGCGGACUAACUUGGAAACUAAGCGAUGUAGACGAAGAUGGAUUCUUGAAGCUAAAGUUUUUACUUCUUGAGAGCUUGCAUCUGAUGCAAUGGGAAGCAACAAGUUAUCAUUUUCCAAGCCUUGAGCACUUUGUCCUAACAAAUUGCCGGUACUUGGAAAAAAUUCCUUUCGACUUUGCGGAGAUUCAGACACUACAGCUGAUUGAACUACACGAAUGUAUGCGUUCUGUUCUUGUUUCAGCAGAGCAAAUACAAGAGGAGCAACAAAGCUUUGGAAAUGAUGACCUCAUUAUCCGUGCGAACUAUAUACUUGAGUAAACAUUAAUCAAAAAGGUAUACCCUUUUUUUAAAAGCAUAAAGAUUUUUGAUUAGUUAGAUUCCUUCGAAAUCUGAAAAUGAUUUUUAUAUUCAUCAUUUUCACUUAUUUAUACUAUAAAAGGUGCUAAUUACAAUUGGUUUGUGCAUUGCAGACGUAACGACUAGCUAAAUGGAAAGUACCAUAAGGUAUAUACACUCAAGCAAAUUUGCAGAAGUUCAUGUUAUUUCCUGUCUGUGUAUUUCGAUUUCCUUUUAUCAAAUUCUGGGAAGUAAGUUAGUGAAAUAGUCAUGUUUCAACUUGUUUGGGACUGAAACGUAGUUUAGUGAAUCUGACAUCUAUAUACAUUCAUCAAAAAGAAUGCAUUACCUUUGGAAUGUGUAUAUAGAAUAACUUCUCUUUUUAUUGAAAUUGAUUCUAUAAAUUAGUUCUCCUCAACAAAACCUUUUCGACCAUACCAAACACACCCUUAGUGAUUCUUUGUUUUGCUCGUCUUAACUCUUAUCUAUACUUUUAACAUUUUUUUGUCUUUUACUUGCUUCUUUUGUUUACAAUAAUGUUUUAUCAUUUUCAAUAUGUUGACUUUUAGUCAAUUUUAUUUUUUCUUAAUUCAAAACAAUAUAAUAAAAGAGACGUUGAAAAAUUCCAAAUAUGUGAAAAAUCUUCUCUUUAUUUUGCUUUGCUCUUUCGAUCUUAAUUUAUAUAACAUAUUUCGCUUUUUAGUAUGUCUCAAAACAAAUUACUACAUUUUCUAAUUUGAAUAUAUAUUAAAAUUGUGGAUAUCAUAUUUUAGUUAUGAUGUUAUACUUUAGUUAAAGAAUUUUUCUUUUUUAAUUGUUCGCUUUAGCAAAUCAAGAUCAUAAAAUUAUUAAUUGAUUUUUUAAUAAUUGUAGCGUCUAAGUCCGUUUGUAUGCGCCAACUAAUUCUAUGAUAUACUAUAUCUAUUAUUCCUCACCAACCAUGCAUAAAGUAACUUUGUUAUCAAAGCUUGAACUGAUAAGAAGAAAUCAUCACGCGCGUGUUCUUAGUUAGCUAUAUCUAGAAUUUGAAUUUAAAAUCCCAUAAUUUUCAACACAUGACUUCAUUGACCAUCUUUCAAAAAUAACAUAAGAUCUACAUUUAUUCUAUCUUUUCUGAUCUGGUAAAUGAAAUUAUACUGAAUACGUUAUUGUGGUUGUUAUAUUGUCUUUGUGUAUCUAAAGAGAUAUGGAUGUGAGUGGGAACAUCCCAUGUGCAUAUACUCAAGAAAAGGAGAUUGAAAACAAUGUGUAUGAAUUGUGCCUUGGUACAGAAAAAAUAUGGAAUGGUCCCUCAUAACGAUAAUGAGUGAAAAAUGUGAGUUAUAUUAUUUUAGAAAAAUAAAAUAGGAAUCUUUUAGGUGUUGAAUUACAAUUGGUUCUUGUCUAUCUUUUUCGUCUUUUCCUUUUUUAAAGUAGAAUAUAAAAAAAAUAAUACUAAAAAUAGAAAGUUAAUUACCAAAAAGAGAAAUACCAAAAUAAACAUACAAAUUAAUUCUAGAUUAAGAAAAUUAAAAUACCAUAAUACUAAACUUAUUUAUUGAAACCUAAUUUGAAAAGGAUGAAAAUUAUUCUUUCUUUUGAAAAUGAAAUAAAAUUGAUAUUCUAAAAUAUGAUUCUAUUUUUGUAAUUUUUCAAUUUCAACAAAUAAAACUUAUCAAACUAAAACAAAGAUUAAAAAAAAAAACAACAACAUAGCAGUGAAUUUCCAAAAGUGGGUAUAAGAAGGGUAGGAUAUAAGAAGUGUACUGUAACCAACGUAGAAUUGAAAGGAAAAUAACGUCAAGAAAUAUCAAGAUACAUAAAGUAAAUGAAACAACAUGCAAUGGUGAAAAGUAAAGAAUAAGAUAGUAUGCGACUAUGUCUACUAAUCAACAUUUACUAAAUAAAGAGAAGACGAGAAGAGGAAGUUAAUCCCCCGCUUCUCCCACAAAGAAAUAUGACAACAAUAAUCGACUAUUUACUAUUCUUGUACUAUAAUCUUCGAUCUUCAUAUCUUCUUAUUUAGGUCAUGUAUUUCGAAGAUGUUUCAUGUCAUAUCUAAAUUAUCUCUUCUCAAUUCCUCUUCGUCUUAUUUGUACCUCUCAUAAAAUCGGUUACAAAUCAAUCUCUUCACACCUUCUUAUUUGUACACUCAUUCCUGCAUCUCUCCAUAUAUGUUCGAACUAUUUCUAUCUCGUUUUCCUCAUCUUAAUCCUUACUAAAAAAUGUUAAUCAGAUUCCAAUGUGGAUAUCAAAUAUCGAACACCGAAUAAAGAUGAAAAACAAGAAAAAAAUCCAAAGAUGCUGUUUUUAUUCCUGCCACAUAGAUUAUUGGGUCAGCCAUAAAAAUAUCUUCGUUAGCUGGCUGAUGACGUGGACUUCCUCUGGUGGCAGGUUUAGGUCUCUAGAUAUUUUCACCUCAAAAUAUCCUUCAACCACGUGUCGACCAAACUUUCAUUUUUGCCAUCCAAACACCUAUAAACUACCGAAAUGCCAUUGACUAUCAAUACUAGUUUGUAUUUUUUAUUUCUAAAUUCUAAUACUAUACUAUUAGUUCUUACUAUUUUUUGAAAAGUUACACUUUUAAGAUCCACUUUUUUUUAUAUAUUGAUAGCGUUAUUAAAUAUUUAUGAAAUAAAAAAAAAAUUAUUACUCUUUUUUGAAUUAAUUAAAAGGAAAAAGGUAUUGUAUAUAUUAAAAUAGAGCGAAUAUUAUUUUAUCAUGAUUAUUAUUUACAAAAUAUAGUAAGUAAUUGUUCGAUUUUGGAUUCAAAUACCUUCUUUUAUUUCUUUAGUAUGUUUUCCAUUGAUUACUACUUACUUAGUAUAAGUCGCUAGAAGGUGACACGGCUUGAACAACAUGUCUACUUCAGAAGCCAGGGAUAAUUUUAUCUUUCUUCGUGCAAUUACACAUGGCAUUGAUUGAUAAAAAUAUGAAAGACUAGAUUUACCCUUACUCCUCUAUUUUUUUUUUGGCAAUUAACAAAUUUUAUUAAUUACCAUAACCAUGAGAAAUUAUUUUAGAUUUAACCCUUGUCAAAGACAAAAUCCAUCAAAACAAUGUCACAACUAUCAACUAAAUGUGAUAUCUAAUGUGAAUUGUAAAAUUUUUGAACCAUCGAGUCUUUAAUUGCAUAUUACGCUUGAAGCUAUUAGGUCAAUGACAUAUAUUUGUCUGAAUGCCACGCAUUAUAUUGCAUCGCCGCUAAAAUGCUUAAAGAAACUAUCAACUAAAUAUAGACAUAGCAACAACUAUAGCCUUUAAUAUGCAUUUUUGUGCACUCUUAAUUUUCAUAUCAUUAAAUCCAAAAUAUAUACCUAAAACGAGGAAUCAAUUAUACAUAGUACUAGAACUAGAAUACUUAUUCUUAGGGCCACUUAAAUAUAUUUUUAAGUAGCUAGAACAGCUAAUUAACCACUAUUAUAAUGCUAUGUUCCUUAAUCCUAGUAUAUAAUUCAACUUUAAAUAUAAUCAGUAGGUCAAGUGUGAUAAUGACAUCCAUAAUUAUCGUUUAUCACACUCCAAUUUAAUAAUAAAAUAAUAAAUUAACAUUGAAGCAUAACUAUGGCCUAUGGGUUCUCAAUACAUGAAUAUUCUCUCAAACAGGUAUAUAAUUUUUUUAUAAAUAGUUCUACUUUAAAGCAUAGUUACAAAACGUAAAUAUAAUUUAACAUAACUAUAAUUAUUGUAUCAGGUAAAAGAAUUGUAUCAUGCAGAUAUCAAUUAUAUCGACAACUAAUUAUAUUCAAACAACAAGUAUCAUCCGUAUCAGACGGAUAUCAACGCAUACUAUAUCAAUUGAUAAGUUCAAUCUUUAUGUUUCUAUCAACAGAAUUCAUUAUACUUUUAAAAUUACGAAUUCAAAUAUUUUAAUAUUAAAACACACACGUCUAUGCAUGAUAUCAGAAAUACUAGGUUCGUAUUAAUCCAAUUCUUACAUCACCCCCCCCCCCACACACACACACAAUAAAAAUAUCUUACUUUCGGUGUGAACUAUGAAUUAAAUUUCAAAAAAUAACAAUUCUAAAAAAGAUUAUUUAAUUUUGUAAACAAUAAUAGUUUCAAAUUCCAUAGCAGAAACUCCAGUACAUUGUCAUGGAGUAAAACUUGUAAAAACAACAACAUAUCUAGUGUAAUCUCACAAGUGAAGACUAGGGUGAUAGGAUGUGAACAAACCUUAUCCUUACCUUUGUGGUGUAGAGAGAUGUUGUUUCCGAUAGACCCUCGACUCAACAAUAAAGAAAAGAAUUUGAAGCAUGGUAGCAAGAAAAUAUGACAGCAAAACAGCAAGAUACAAAUCAAAUGAAGCAACAAAGUGCAACAAUACUCGGCUACCUACUAACUUUCUAAUCUAAUCCUCAACUUUCACUCCUUCCUAUCUAGGGUCAUAUCCGGAGUAAAACUUGUAGAUUUUGAAAUUACCUGACUAUAGUUAUAUUUCGAAGAUAUGUCCGAAAAGUGGCUCUCUAGUAUGAAUGUAGUUUGGGCAAGUUGUAUGACUUUGGGUCUCUGAAACUAUUCCAACUUGCUUUUUGGUACAAGUCUUAAAUACAAUUUGGGUCUCAAUCUGACAAAUAAUUCAAUGAGCAAAACAAGAAUUCUCACUUCUACCCUUCCACCAACCCUACCAUUACUCUAUUGGAGAGAAGCAGUCACAAAGAGAAGACUUCUCUUUACAAACCCUUAAAAGUCUUGCAUUCCCAUCCAUUACACUGCCUUCUUCUUUCAUAAAGAAUUGGUUUUGAGAAUCUAAAUCAACAACUCAGAACUUCCUCCUACUGUCCUGUUUAGCAAGAAACUAACAAACAGCGAUAUGGCGGCGUAUGCUGCUGUGACUUCACUUUUGCAUACCCUGGACAGUCUAUCUCAAACUGAUAUUCUUUACAAAAAAAAGCAAACUGAAGUCCUCAGUGACAAGUACACCUUCCUUAAAACCUUUCUUGAGGAUUUUACUAAUAUUUUCCAUGAAGAUGUAAAGAUGAAGCAUCUCGAAAGGAUAAUCCAAGAAGCUGCUAAUGGAGUGGAAGAUACUAUUGACUCACAUGUAUAUGAUAGACAUGUUUUAGUACAA